This 255-nucleotide ribosomal RNA is filed under the name Klebsiella pneumoniae. RNAcentral's name for it is "partial 16S ribosomal RNA". It matches the Rfam family "Bacterial small subunit ribosomal RNA", at positions 1288 to 1533 of the family's 1533-position model. The record is from RNAcentral. Lineage: Bacteria; Pseudomonadati; Pseudomonadota; Gammaproteobacteria; Enterobacterales; Enterobacteriaceae.
UAGUCCGGAUUGGAGUCUGCAACUCGACUCCAUGAAGUCGGAAUCGCUAGUAAUCGUAGAUCAGAAUGCUACGGUGAAUACGUUCCCGGGCCUUGUACACACCGCCCGUCACACCAUGGGAGUGGGUUGCAAAAGAAGUAGGUAGCUUAACCUUCGGGAGGGCGCUUACCACUUUGUGAUUCAUGACUGGGGUGAAGUCGUAACAAGGUAACCGUAGGGGAACCUGCGGUUGGAUCACCUCCUUACCUUAAAGAA